AUGACAGACGAAUGGCUAAAAAAUCUUCCUAAUGCAUCAAAAUGGACGCUCAGAUUUCCUGUAAGAGGUCUGAGCUGUUCCUCCCAGCUUCGAGCUGCCCCAACUAGCCAGAUGAAAUCAAAGAAGACCUUAGCCAAACCCAAUGUAAGGAAUAUAGUGGUGGUGGACAGUGUCCGGACUCCAUUUUUGCUGUCAGGCACUUCAUACAAAGACCUGAUGCCACAUGAUUUGGCUAGAGCAGCACUAACGGGGUUGUUGCAGCAGACCAGUGUCCCAAAGGAAAUUGUUGAUUAUAUCAUCUUUGGCAUAGUUUUAUUCAAAAAGUGAAAAUAAGCAACAUAGCUAGAGAGGGUGCCCUCGGAGCUGGCUGCUCUGACAAGACUCCCGCUCACACUGUAACCAUGGCUUGUAUCUCUGCCAACCAUGACCCCAGGUGUUGGCUUGAUUGCUUCUGGCCAGUGUGAUGUGAUUGUGGCAGGUGGUGUAGAGUUAAUGUCUGAUGUCCCUAUUUGUCAUUCAAGGAAAAUGAGGAAAAUGAUGAUUGAUCUCAAUAAGGCCAAGACUCUGGGCCAGCGACUGUCUUUAAUCUCUAAAUUCAGACUGAAUUUUCUCUCAUGUGAGCUCCCUGCAGUGGCUGAAUUCUCUACCAGUGAGACCAUGGGCCGACUGGCUGCUGCCUUCGCUGUUUCUCGCCUGGAACAGGAUGAAUAUGCACUGCGCUCUCACAGUCUGGCCAAGAAGGCACAAGAUGAAGGACUCCUUUCUGAUUUUAUACCUUUCAAAGUGCCAGGAAAAGAUACAUUUACCAAAGAUAACAGCAUCCAUCCUUCCUCACUGGAGCAGAUGGCCAAAUUAAAACCUGCAUUCAUCAAGCCCUAUGGCACCAUAACAGCUGCAAAUUCUUCUUUCCUGACUGAUGGGGCAUCUGCAAUGCUGAUUAUGGCAGCGGAAAAAGCUCCAGCCAUGGGCUAUAAACUGAAGGCUUAUUUGAGGGAUUUUGUGUAUGUAUCUCAGGAUCCAAAAGAUCAACUUUUACUUGGACCAACAUAUGCUACUCCAGAAGUUCUAGAAAAGGCAGGAUUAACCAUGAAUGAUAUUGAUGUUUUUGAAUUUCAUGAAGCUUUCUUAGGUCAAAUUUUGGCUAAUUUUAAAGCCAUGGAUUCUGAUUGGUUUGCACAAAACUACAUGGGUAGAAAAACCAAGGUUGGAUUGCCUCCUUUGGAGAAGUUCAAUAAUUGGGGUGGAUCUUUGUCCCUGGGACACCCAUUUGGAGCCACUAGCUGUCGGCUGGUCAUGGUAGCUGCCAACAGAUUAUGGAAGGAAGGAGGCCAGUAUGGCUUAGUGGCUGCCUGUGCAGUCGGAGGGCAGGGCCAUGCUAUGAUAGUGGAGGCUUAUUCAAAAUAA
Nycticebus coucang (slow loris) is the source of this 1404-nucleotide RNA transcript. It is a transcript of the gene named trifunctional enzyme subunit beta, mitochondrial-like, with no coding region annotated. The record is from RefSeq and is a predicted model, not a curated record. Lineage: Eukaryota; Metazoa; Chordata; Mammalia; Primates; Lorisidae. The transcript has a single exon.